This 73-nucleotide transfer RNA is filed under the name Schistosoma haematobium. It matches the Rfam family "tRNA". Rfam says of the family: Transfer RNA (tRNA) molecules are approximately 80 nucleotides in length. Their secondary structure includes four short double-helical elements and three loops (D, anti-codon, and T loops). The record is from Rfam by way of RNAcentral. Lineage: Eukaryota; Metazoa; Platyhelminthes; Trematoda; Strigeidida; Schistosomatidae.
GUCUCGGUGGCCUAAUGGAUAAGGCGUCGGUUUCCGGAGCCGAAGACUGAGGGUUCGAGUCCCUCCCGAGACG